This 301-nucleotide ribosomal RNA is filed under the name uncultured bacterium. RNAcentral's name for it is "partial 16S ribosomal RNA". It matches the Rfam family "Bacterial small subunit ribosomal RNA", at positions 509 to 807 of the family's 1533-position model. The record is from RNAcentral.
CAGUAGCCGCGGUAAUACGAAGGGGGCUAGCGUUGCUCGGAAUGACUGGGCGUAAAGGGCGCGUAGGCGGCGAUCAAAGUCAGGCGUGAAAUUCCUGGGCUCAACCUGGGGGCUGCGCUUGAUACUUGGUUGCUUGAGUGGGGAAGAGGGUCGUGGAAUUCCCAGUGUAGAGGUGAAAUUCGUAGAUAUUGGGAAGAACACCGGUGGCGAAGGCGGCGACCUGGUCCUUGACUGACGCUGAGGCGCGAAAGCGUGGGGAGCAAACAGGAUUAGAUACCCCGGUAGUCCCUGUCUCUUAUAC